AAUUGUUCGCAAUGGGCGCAAGCCUGACGACGCAACGCCGCGUGGAGGAUGAAGGUCUUCGGAUUGUAAACUCCUGUCGAACGGGACGAACACCUUCCGGGUUAAUACUCCGGGAGGCUGACGGUACCGUUAGAGGAAGCCCCGGCUACCUCUGUGCCAGCAGCCGCGGUAAUACAGAGGGGGCAAGCGUUGUUCGGAAUUACUGGGCGUAAAGGGCGCGUAGGCGGCCCGCUAAGUCGAACGUGAAAUCCCCAGGCUCAACCUGGGAACUGCGUCCGAUACUGGCAGGCUUGAAUCCGGGAGAGGGAUGUGGAAUUCCAGGUGUAGCGGUGAAAUGCGUAGAUAUCUGGAGGAACACCGGUGGCGAAGGCGGCAUCCUGGACCGGUAUUGACGCUGAGGCGCGAAAGCUAGGGGAGCAAAC
This 422-nucleotide ribosomal RNA is filed under the name uncultured bacterium. RNAcentral describes it as "bacterial SSU rRNA". It matches the Rfam family "Bacterial small subunit ribosomal RNA", at positions 360 to 773 of the family's 1533-position model. The record is from RNAcentral.